GGAAACGGAUGCUAAUACCCCAUAGGUGGAUUGGUCGCAUGACGAAUUCAUUAAAGGUGGCUUUGCUACCACUCAUGGAUAGCCUCGCGGCGUAUUAGCUAGUUGGUAAGGUAAUGGCUUACCAAGGCAGUAAUACGUAGCCGACUUGAGAGGGUGAUCGGCCACACUGGGACUGAGACACGGCCCAG
Molecule: ribosomal RNA, 188 nt
Filed under: uncultured Carnobacteriaceae bacterium
Lineage: Bacteria; Bacillati; Bacillota; Bacilli; Lactobacillales; Carnobacteriaceae
Description: partial 16S ribosomal RNA
Rfam family: Bacterial small subunit ribosomal RNA
Source: RNAcentral